Non-coding RNA from Ornithorhynchus anatinus (platypus), 138 nucleotides. NCBI's taxonomy places the organism in Eukaryota, Metazoa, Chordata, Mammalia, Monotremata, Ornithorhynchidae. The record is from Rfam.
CCCCUCUCAGGGUCACACCUGGAGAGUUUCCAGUACUUUACCAGUCUCGGACAUGGGAGGGAGAGUCAAGCAGAGGCCCGUCCAUUCCAUUCCUAGCUUGGGCAGUGGCUAGCGAGUGGAAGGCAAUCUGCUGAAAGC